This 326-nucleotide ribosomal RNA is filed under the name uncultured bacterium. RNAcentral describes it as "bacterial SSU rRNA". It matches the Rfam family "Bacterial small subunit ribosomal RNA", at positions 28 to 349 of the family's 1533-position model. The record is from RNAcentral.
GAUGAACGCUAGCGGCAGGCUUAAUACAUGCAAGUCGUGGGGCAGCAGGUUUGUAGCAAUACAGAUGCUGGCGACCGGCAAACGGGUGCGGAACACGUACAGAACCUUCCUUGAGCGGGGAAUAGCCCAGAGAAAUUUGGAUUAAUACCCCAUAGUAUAAUGAAGUGGCAUCACUUUAUUAUUAAAGAUUUAUCACUCGAAGAUGGCUGUGCGGCUGAUUGGGUAGUUGGCGGGGUAAAGGCCACUAAGCCUGCGAUCAGUAACUGGUGUGAGAGCACGACCAGUCACACGGGCACUGAGACACGGGCCCGACUCCUACGGGAGGG